RNAcentral lists this ribosomal RNA (1905 nucleotides) under human gut metagenome. RNAcentral describes it as "bacterial LSU rRNA". It matches the Rfam family "Bacterial large subunit ribosomal RNA", at positions 3 to 1990 of the family's 2925-position model. The record is from RNAcentral.
UCAAGCUAGAAAGAGCGCAAGGGGAAUGCCUUGGCAUCAGGAGCCGACGAAGGACGUGACAAGCUGCGAUAAGCUGCGGUGAGCUGCACAUAAGCUUUGACCCGCAGAUUUCCGAAUGGGGAAACCCGGCAGAGCAAUACUCUGUCAGCGUGCGUUGAAUCAAAUAGGCGUACGCGGGGAACCGCCUGAACUGAAACAUCUAAGUAGGGCGAGGAAGAGAAAUCAACCGAGAUUCCGCUAGUAGUGGCGAGCGAACGCGGAAGAGGGCAAACCGGAGGAUUUAUCCUCCGGGGUUGUGGACAGUUUUUUAGCAACUGGAACUAGGAGAACGGUAUGGGAAGGCCGGCCAUAGCGGGUGAUAGCCCCGUAUCCGAAAGGGAAGGUUGUGCGACUGGAUCCAGAGUACCGCCGGACACGUGAAACCCGGUGGGAAGCUGGGGGGACCACCCUCCAACCCUAAAUACUACCUGAUGACCGAUAGAGGAGCAGUACCGUGAGGGAAAGGUGAAAAGGACCCCGGGAGGGGAGUGAAAGAGAACCUGAAACCUUGUGCUUACAAGCACUCAAAGCCCGUUAAAGGGUGAUGAGGUACCUUUUGUAGAAUGGUCCGGCGAGUUAUUGUUACUGGCAAGCUUAAGGCAUUCAGUGCCGGAGGCGCAGGGAGACCGAGUCUGAAUAGGGCGUAUGAAGUCAGUGGCAAUAGACCCGAAACCGGGUGACCUAUCCAUGGGCAGGUUGAAGUGGGGGUAAAACCCCAUGGAGGACCGAACGCACGCCCGUUGCAAUGGUCGGCGAUGACCUGUGGAUAGCGGUGAAAUUCCAAUCGAACUCGGAGAUAGCUGGUUCUCCCCGAAAUAGCUUUAGGGCUAGCGUUGGCUUAGAUUACCGGAGGUAAAGCACUGAAUGGGCUAGGGGCCGAUAAGGUUACUGAACCCUAUCAAACUCUGAAUGCCGGAUAAUUGAUGGCCAGCAGUCAGUCUACGUGAGAUAAGUCUCGUGGACAAAAGGGAAACAGCCCAGACCCACAGCUAAGGUCCCAAAGAUACGCUAAGUGGAAAACGAUGUGGAGUUGCGAAAACAACCAGGAUGUUGGCUUAGAAGCAGCCACUCAUUAAAAGAGUGCGUAAUAGCUCACUGGUCGAGUGACUCUGCGCGGAAAAUAUAACGGGGCUAAGCGUAACACCGAAGCUUGGGCUGCACAGCAAUGUGCGGGGUAGGGGAGCGUCGAAUAUGGGGUGAAGUCGCAGCGGAAGCAGCGGUGGACUGUAUUCGAGUGAGAAUGCCGGAAUGAGUAGCGAGAAUUAUGUGGGAAUCAUAAUGGCCGAAAAUCUAAGGUUUCCUGGGGAAGGUUCGUCCGCCCAGGGUAAGCCGGGAGCUAAGGCGAGGCCGAAAGGCGUAGUCGAUGCACAUACGGUUGAAAUUCCGUAGCCACCGAACCUUAAGUACACUGACACAUGGAGAUAGCGGGACCCGGGCGUUGGUUGACCCGGGCGUAAGGGACCGAACUAUAGUAGGGAAGUCCGCGAUGCUCUGUGGCGAGAAAAGGUGUAUGGUAUGCUAAGGUGCCCGUACCGCAAACCGACACAGGUAGAUGAGGAGAGAAUCCUAAGGCCAACGGGAGAAGGGUUGUUAAGGAACUCGGCAAAAUGACCCCGUAACUUCGGGAUAAGGGGAGCCUCCUACGGGAGGCCGCAGCGAAUAGGCCCAAGCGACUGUUUACCAAAAACACAGGUCUCUGCUAAAUCGAAAGAUGACGUAUAGGGGCUGACGCCUGCCCGGUGCUGGAAGGUUAAGAGGAGAUGUUAGCCGCAAGGCGAAGCAUUGAAUCGAAGCCCCAGUAAACGGCGGCCGUAACUAUAACGGUCCUAAGGUAGCGAAAUUCCUUGUCAGGUAAGUUCUGACCCG